CCCUGUGCCUGACAUCCCCACACCCCUGUGCCCAGCAUCCCUGUGUUCCCAUACACAGCAUCCCCACAUCCCUGUGCCUGACAUCCUCAUGUCCCUAUGCCCACCAUCCCUGUGUCCCCAUACACAACAUCCCCACAUCCCCGUGCCCACCAUUUCCAUAUCUCCAUGCCCAUCCUCCUGCUGUCCCCAUGCCUGGAGUCCCACAAGUGACAUCCCCACGUCUACAUCCCUCUCCCUGCACCUCCAUGCCCAGCAUCCCCAUAUCCCCAUCCAUGGUUCUCACCACCCCACAUCCUCAUCCUUUGCAUCCCCAAAUCCCCACGUCUGUUGUCCCCAUGACCCCACAUCCCAACCCCAUAUCCCCACACCUCACAUCCCAAAUCCCAACCCCACACCUCACAUCCCACAUCCCCAUCUCUGUAUCCCCACACCUCACAUCCCAAAUCCCAACCCCACACCUCACAUCCCACACCCCUACCCCAUAUCCCCACACCUCACAUCCCACAUCCCCGUCCCUGUAUCCCCAUGUCUUACAUCCCAUUUCCUCACACCUUACAUCCCACAUCCCCACACCUGUGGUCCCCAUGACCUCACAUCCCACAUCCCAACCCCAUAUCCCGACACCUUACAUCCCAUAUUCCCACACCUUUGGUCCCCAUGA
RNAcentral lists this long non-coding RNA (661 nucleotides) under Phasianus colchicus (ring-necked pheasant). Its description in RNAcentral is "lncRNA (ENSPCLG00000022241.1)". Lineage: Eukaryota; Metazoa; Chordata; Aves; Galliformes; Phasianidae. The record is from RNAcentral.